GUUUGUGCCUUUGUGAUGACCAGUUUUUUCCCCGGCAGAUCGACCAUGUUGACUGUCUGAGAAUUUAAGCCAAAGAUUUCUGAUGCACUGAA
Molecule: small nucleolar RNA, 92 nt
Organism: Ictalurus punctatus (channel catfish)
Lineage: Eukaryota; Metazoa; Chordata; Actinopteri; Siluriformes; Ictaluridae
Product: Small nucleolar SNORD12/SNORD106
Source: Ensembl